Molecule: long non-coding RNA, 1691 nt
Filed under: Zalophus californianus (California sea lion)
Lineage: Eukaryota; Metazoa; Chordata; Mammalia; Carnivora; Otariidae
Description: lncRNA (ENSZCAG00015004390.1)
Source: RNAcentral
AUAAAAUGACACGUUUAGGUUGGCUCUGGAGUGAAUCUACACACAGUUUAUUCAGAAUGUUUGGGUUCUUUGCAGCCGCCCUACUCACUCAUUCAUUCAUUUAUUCACUCAUUCAUUUGUUCAUCCGUCCAUUUGGUUCCUAUGCUGUGCCAGACGCUCUGCUGGGCACUGGAUGUGUAAAGAUCAGAAAACACGGCACCUCUGCAAAGAAGCUCACAGGCCAGUGACGAAAAUAGUCCUUUGUACAAUUAUAAAGCAGUGACAGGGAUGUCUCAAGGGCUUUAUGGGAGCACAGAUGAUGGAGUCUGUUAUGGGUUAAAAUGUAUGCCCCCGAAUUCAGAUGUCGACUCUCUACCAUCCAGGAGCUCAGAAUAUGACCUUGUGCAGAGACAAGAUCUUCAGUGACGUCAUCAAGUUAAAAACGAGGCCGUUAGGAGCUGGCUUCAUUCAAUAUGGCUGGUGUCUCCGUGGGCCAUGUGGGGACGGCGGCGGAGACUGGGGCGAAGCUCCUACACGCCCACGGAACGGCACCAGACCACGCCGGAACACCGCCGGAAGCCGGAAGCCGGAAGGUGUAAUAACACGCAGGCACGCAGCCGACUGCUCCUCGCGGUCCUCACCAGGGCCCUUCCGGGAGCUGCCGGGAGGAGCGUCAGAGAGGGCUUCCGGGAGGAGAGGACCCGGCAGCAAGUUGUCAGGGAAAGGGGGCGCGGUGUGAUCUCAGAAUGGCCUGCCGCACCCGGGAAGAGCACACACCUUCCUCACAACAGGAAGACUGCUAACAAAAAGGCUUUUGCCCAGCCGCUGCGUUCGAGAAAAUCCGGCUAUUUAAUAGGUGAGAAGCAGUUCCUGUAAGCACCGCCUGGGGAUCUGUGCUCCGGCCUCUCACGUGACUCUGUGGGGUUUUGGUCUAAAUUUCCCACCUCUGGUACACAUCUCAAAGGGUUCUGUUCUGGGAGCAUAUGGCCCGAAAGGCGCAAAGAUUUAUUCUGCCUAAGAAAGAAGAUUUUGUUUUGUUUUGUUUUAAUGUCAACCCACCUUUUAUAUCAUCUUUAAAAAUUCUGGUGCUCCGGAGCACAGAUCAGGCCAUUCACCCCAGGGGAGCUUUAAAUUGAAGACAUUUGUAAUCUUUUUCUUUUAGGUUUCUUUAGAAUUUAACCUAAAAUAAAUAUGAUAGCUCGGUGAUACUAAAAUGUAAUGGCCCUUGCCUUUAUAUACUAGACUGAAAAUCGUACUUGAAUCGUUCGGGAAGUAUCCUAGUUAGGAGUAACACACGUUUCUUUUGGGAAUGGAAGAGCUGCCUUGUAAUCUGGGUGGGUCUCCUUAAUUUUUUAAAAAUUAGCACUGUUACAUAUAUAAGAGAAAUGCUUAAAAUCUAGUACUCUGUCUGCAGAAUUAAAUGGCCCAUACACAUGCAUAAUUGCAAAUAUUAAAGAUUUCCUUAAUUUUUAAAAUUAUUUUAUUUUAUUAUUUUUUUAAGAUUUUAUUUAUUUUUCAACAGAGAGAGAGACAGCGAGAGAGGGAACACAAGCAGGGGGAGUGGAAGAGAGAGAAGCAGGCUUCCUGCUGAGCAGAGAGCCCAGUGCGGUACUUGAUCCCAGGACCCCGGGAUCAUGACCUGAGCCGAAGGCAGGUGCUUCACGACUGAGCUACCCAGGCGCCCCUAAAGAUUUUAUUUAUUUAUUUAUUUG